GACGAACGCUGGCGGCGUGCCUAACACAUGCAAGUCGAACGGAGUUAAAUCGAAGCUUGCUUUGAUUUAACUUAGUGGCGGACUGGUGAGUAACGCGUGAGCAAUCUGCCUUCAAGAGGGGGAUAACGGCUGGAAACGGUCGCUAAUACCGCAUAACAUAUAACUGAGGCAUCUCAGAUAUAUCAAAGGAGUAAUCCGCUUGAAGAUGAGCUCGCGUCUGAUUAGGUAGUUGGUGAGGUAAUGGCUCACCAAGCCUACGAUCAGUAGCCGGACUGAGAGGUCGAACGGCCACAUUGGGACUGAGAUACGGCCCAGACUCCUACGGGAGGCAGCAGUGAGGAAUAUUGGUCAAUGGUCGGGAGACUGAACCAGCCAAGUAGCGUGAAGGAUGAAAGGUUCUAUGGAUUGUAAACUUCUUUUAUACGGGAAUAACACCAUCUACGUGUAGAUGUCUGCAUGUACCGUAUGAAUAAGCA
RNAcentral lists this ribosomal RNA (476 nucleotides) under uncultured bacterium. RNAcentral describes it as "bacterial SSU rRNA". It matches the Rfam family "Bacterial small subunit ribosomal RNA", at positions 28 to 492 of the family's 1533-position model. The record is from RNAcentral.